GAAUCUUUUUCUUGUCUUUUUUCAAAAAACAAACUGACAGAAGAAAAUAGAAGUGUAAAUUGAAAUGUGUGCAAAAAUGAGCGUGGUCGUUGAGCGCCGAUCUUCCCUUCCGAAAACCUGCUGCGUUGUUUUAUUUUGAAAGCCGAUACCGGAAGCGCGUUAUUACUUUGCGGGGGGUCUUUACGCGCGUGAGCAACGGUUCCGUACCUUGGAGGUGAGCGGAGUUAAAAAUCGGACCGAGACAGUCGCGUCGAGCUCGGAUGGCGGCACGCGCUCUGGUGCGGUGAAAUCUGCGGGAGGAAAACGCACCAGUGAAGAGUUGCCGCGACUUGGCUGCGUUUCGGACUGAGCCAAACCGGACCGACGACGCCGCUCUGGCUCCGAGAAUCGAACAGCCUCAUAAAGUGACGGAGUUUGCUUCUUUUUCAAGGAUUUUCGACUCUGCUGCUUUUUGCGCAACUGUCGCCUGACGCGGCGGAAGAAGAAGUCCACAAAACCGGGAUUCGGUCUGUCUAUGCAGCCCGCCCGGACCUUUCUGCCUCCUUGACGGUUAGAUCGUUUACGUCUCAGAAUCAAUUCUUUCCAAUCUGGUUUGCGGAUUUUGAAAAGCCCAGAGAAGUCGCUGGCAGCUGACGCGGCGCGGCGCGGACGCAUCUUCACCUCAUUUUGCGCAAAGACUUGGUUAUUUAAAAAGAAGAAAGAAGAAAGAAAAAAGAAAACCCAAGAAUGACUAAUCACGCAGUGGAAUUGCGCUGUUCUCCUGCCCUCCUCGCCUCAGCCUCCUAGUCUAGCCCGUGUUUUUAUGGAUCUCGGCACGCAGGAGGCGUCUGCAGCCAAGGCGCGCGUCAUCCUCCCGCUGAUGCCUGGCGAUUUAUGAUUUUUGCGGGGCGUUUGCGGGGGUUCGCGCAGGGACUUGCUUUCAGGAGCACCGCGCUUCGGGAUACUUGGAAGUUUGGUCUCCCAUGUGGACGGAAACGCCGUCGUUGAGCUCGAGAAGACGCGGUUCGGCUGCGCUUCCCUGACAGACCCGCCGUCAGAAAUCUCACCUUCAGCCGCCUGAGGUCCGAAACUGCAGCAACAGCGCGCGGAGCUCCGCAGCCUGAUCCAUUCAGCACCGGCAACUGGGACAACUGGGAUUUACCGUCUGGGAAUUCUACCAUGUCAGGUGUACGGGACUGCAGAUGGACUCUCCUCAUCUGUGUGGCGGCGCUUUCAUAUGCGGAAUGAUGAGGAUGAAUCCUGGUUCCAUUCCGGUCCCGUGUUUGCAGUGGUUGGCGCAGCUCCGCAAACGUGAUUCACC
Molecule: long non-coding RNA, 1300 nt
Filed under: Takifugu rubripes (torafugu)
Lineage: Eukaryota; Metazoa; Chordata; Actinopteri; Tetraodontiformes; Tetraodontidae
Description: lncRNA (ENSTRUG00000028433.1)
Source: RNAcentral